CGAAAAGGAGGGGGUUCGAGAGAGUCGGACACGCUCCGCUCCAAGUAAGGCGAAUUGCCUGGGAGAGAGAAAGGCCCUCCCGUCUCUCAGAAAAUGCGGCCGGCGGCUACCCAAUCCCAAAGUACCUAUACUUUUGUACGAUUGCUAUUGGUGGGAAGAUCUCAAAAGCGGGCGAAUAAGUUGAAGACCCGAGCGCCGUUUGUUCUGCUGUUGGAAGUCCCUGCAAAUUUAUUCUGCGGAAAAUGCUGACAAAAACAAGUGCAAGAAACAAAUGCUCUAGAGAACUCAGUAAAGCACAUGAAGAUAAGAAGAGAAGAUCAGAAAAUAGUGGGACAAGAAUCAUAUUAUUGGCAGUUCUUUACGGUGCAAAUAUUCCUCAUACCUCUAAGUAAUCAUAUUGACAUGCAAGGUCCUCUAAAUUAAAGGAACUGAAAAAGA
Crotalus tigris (Tiger rattlesnake) is the source of this 438-nucleotide long non-coding RNA. RefSeq lists it as uncharacterized. The transcript is spliced from 2 exons. Lineage: Eukaryota; Metazoa; Chordata; Lepidosauria; Squamata; Viperidae. The record is from RefSeq and is a predicted model, not a curated record.